This 250-nucleotide ribosomal RNA is filed under the name uncultured prokaryote. Its description in RNAcentral is "partial 16S ribosomal RNA". It matches the Rfam family "Bacterial small subunit ribosomal RNA", at positions 524 to 773 of the family's 1533-position model. The record is from RNAcentral.
UACGUAGGGGGCAAGCUUUAUCCGGAUAUACUGGGUGUAAAGGGAGCGUAGACGGCGAAGCAAGUCUGAAGUGAAAGGACGGGGCCCAACCCCGGAACUGCUUUGGAAACUGUUUUGCUUGAGUGCGGGAGGGGUAAGCGGAAUUCCUAGUGUAGCGGUGAAAUGCGUAGAUAUUAGGAGGUACACCGGUGGCGAAGGCGGCUUACUGGACCGUAACUGACGUUGAGGCUCGAAAGCGUGGGGAGCAAAC